GGAACUGAGAUUUAUCUGGAGGAUAGAAGGCAGGAGGAAGAAUUCAAGGAUGAGGAAGCCGAAGCUGAGCAAGUUGACGUAACGUGCCACCUACUAAGUGGAAGCGCUGGAUUCUGGCUCCUCGACCUUUGCUCUGAAGUACAGCUGUGUAGGGAGUAAGUAUUCUGGAGAGAUCUGAACAGGCAAUUGGUUUGCUUUGCUAAAUUAUUGUGCUAAGGAAGAGAGAGAGAGUGACUCUUCUGAAAACCACACUCACCGAU
This 260-nucleotide long non-coding RNA is filed under the name Equus caballus (horse). RNAcentral's name for it is "lncRNA (ENSECAG00000052205.1)". Lineage: Eukaryota; Metazoa; Chordata; Mammalia; Perissodactyla; Equidae. The record is from RNAcentral.